This is a long non-coding RNA of Magnolia sinica, 795 nucleotides long. RefSeq lists it as uncharacterized. The record is from RefSeq and is a predicted model, not a curated record. The transcript is spliced from 3 exons. NCBI's taxonomy places the organism in Eukaryota, Viridiplantae, Streptophyta, Magnoliopsida, Magnoliales, Magnoliaceae.
GUGGGCAUAACAUCAUUGAGGUGUAUUCAAUUCAGCAAUCAACAAAGCAGUUGCCUGGUGCUGUUGGGUUCAAGUUGUCUGGGAAAUUGAACAAUGGUGUUACAGCUACCGACUUAGUUUUAACUGUGACGCAAAUGUUGAGGAAGCAUGGGGUUGUUGGCAAGUUCGUUGAGUUUUAUGGUGGGGGCAUGGGUGAAUUAUCAUUGGCUGAUAGGGCUACUAUUGCUAAUAUGUCUCCUGAAUAUGGAGCAACCAUGGGUUUCUUUCCUGUAGAUCAUGUCACUCUACAAUAUCUCAAGCUAACAGGAUGAAGUGACGAAACUGUGGCAAUGAUAGAAGCCUAUCUGAGUGCAAACAACGUGUUCGUUGACUACAACAAGGUAUACAUCUUUCUUAACCAUUCAGUUUUAAUUGAGCAUUUGACUCUGAAAUGUAAUUGAUUUCUUUUUGUGGAUCCAGCCUAAAAAAGAGAGUAUAUUCAUCUUAUCUAGAGCCAGAUCUUGCAGAUGUUGAACCCUGCAUCUCAGUUCCAAAGCGGUAUGUUCGUGUUAGUUUAAUCCAUGUGCUAUAUUCACUCAGUUGUUGAAUCAUUAUAUUCAAGUUGGAGAUAUUGCAAGAAAGGUAUUUUAUUUGGGUCAGUAGGCUUUUAGACUGAGCUUCUCUUGUUUUUGGUAUGACUUUGUAAUAUGGCUUUAAAGUCACUAGUAUGGAGUUAUUAUGGCAAAUUUGAUGUUUUUGUUUUUUAUUGAAUAAAUUAGUUUCACCAAGUGAAUGAGGUGCAACAAACUGCCUCAU